GUUUUCUCCAGAGCAGCAUACGCCAGGCUCUAUGGAAUGUUGGGUGAGCUGCUUGAGGACCUCCAAGGCCUGUCCCACAGUCUUCCAGCCUCCGACUCUCCGGCCCUCAGUGUGGAAGUCCCACUGGUUUUGUUUUUUGUUUGUUUGGUUUUGUUUUUUUGUUUUUGUUUUUGUUUUUUUUCUCAUUCCUGUCUUGGGAGCUUUCCCCAACCAUGAUAGUGAAGAUGGGCGGAGCUGUCACACCAGCUGUUAGCCUGCCUUGGCUGAGAGGCUAGGAGAUGAGGAGGGAGCGACCACCCAGCUUCAGUCAUUUUAAAGUAGUUCCUGACCCUAGGAGAAGGGAAAUGGAGAUGAAGACUCAAUUGACUUGGUAUGAAGUUUAAAUGCCCCUUCGAGACUCGGGGGUUGAGGACGGUGAGAUUGGCUCAGUGGAUAGAUUCACUUGCCUCUAUGCCUGACAACCCAAGUUAAUAUCCUCUACCCACACAUGGAAGGAAAGAACUGAUUUCCAAAAGUUGUCCUCUGACCUCCACACAGAGACCAUGGCCUGUGCACCACCCCCCGAAAAUGUAAUAUAUUUUUUAAAAAGACAUGGGGACUUCCAUUCAAUGUCUCCCAAUGUUUGGGGAUUUCCUUUCCUUAUUCCCUUACUCCCUGUCGGUACCCUAGAGGAGGCAGAGUGAGUCUAACUACGGAGAGGGCAUCCUCUAGGUUGUCUGGUGGAACAUUCAGGACUCCUGGGAAGGCUCCAACUGG
RNAcentral lists this long non-coding RNA (756 nucleotides) under Mus caroli (Ryukyu mouse). RNAcentral's name for it is "lncRNA (MGP_CAROLIEiJ_G0005670.1)". Lineage: Eukaryota; Metazoa; Chordata; Mammalia; Rodentia; Muridae. The record is from RNAcentral.